ACAGCAGCAGCCGCGGUAAUACAGAGGGUGCGAGCGUUAAUCGGAUUUACUGGGCGUAAAGCGUGCGUAGGCGGCUUCUUAAGUCGGAUGUGAAAUCCCUGAGCUUAACUUAGGAAUUGCAUUUGAUACUGGGAAGCUAGAGUAUGGGAGAGGAUGGUAGAAUUCCAGGUGUAGCGGUGAAAUGCGUAGAGAUCUGGAGGAAUACCGAUGGCGAAGGCAGCCAUCUGGCCUAAUACUGACGCUGAGGUACGAAAGCAUGGGGAGCAAACAGGAUUAGAUACCCGCGUAGUCCCUGUCUCUUAUAC
RNAcentral lists this ribosomal RNA (305 nucleotides) under uncultured bacterium. RNAcentral's name for it is "partial 16S ribosomal RNA". It matches the Rfam family "Bacterial small subunit ribosomal RNA", at positions 505 to 807 of the family's 1533-position model. The record is from RNAcentral.